UGUGGGAGCUGUGUAACUUCAUUAGAAAUUUACCUAUGAAAAAGCCUCUAUGUUUAUAUCCUUGCUACCUCGAAGCAUAAAGAAGCAUUGAAAGUUACCUCUGGAGUCUUUAUUCAUUGAGUAAGCUAUCUGUUAAAGUGAUCAUUCAACCUGCUGCACACAUCCUUACAGACUGGGUCUACAAGAAGCUUGUCGCAGGCCAAGAAGUAAGAACGUGAAGGCAGAUGCUCUAUCUCUGAGUUUUUGUGCAUUUAAGCCUAUGGACGCACCGCCUGAAACCAUAUUGCCAGCUAAUGUCUUUUUAGCAGCUGUGUCCCAAGAUCUUACGGCUCUUAUUAAGGCAGAACAACAUCUGGCCCGACAUCCACACCAUUGGAUAGGUUGUUUGUCCCCGAACAAUUCCAUCUCCGGCUGUUGGCGGGAUCUGCAAAAGGACUUGCAAUGACGUCACCGUGGAUGAGACUAUAAUGCAACAAAAGUAAAUCCUCCUGGGUGCUGCACUUCCUAGAAGAACGUCAAAAUCCUAGGACUGCAGAUGCUAUAUAGCAGUCAACAUAGUAUAAACCAACAAAAGAUGCUUCACAAGAAGAACAUUUUUACUUUACUCUUAAAAACAAGUCAAAGCAGCACUCAUCAAUAAAAUAUUUAUACACCAUGUUCCAAAUUAUUAUGCAAAUUUUAU
This is a long non-coding RNA of Bufo gargarizans (Asiatic toad), 682 nucleotides long. RefSeq lists it as uncharacterized. The transcript has 4 exons. NCBI's taxonomy places the organism in Eukaryota, Metazoa, Chordata, Amphibia, Anura, Bufonidae. The record is from RefSeq and is a predicted model, not a curated record.